This 305-nucleotide ribosomal RNA is filed under the name uncultured bacterium. Its description in RNAcentral is "partial 16S ribosomal RNA". It matches the Rfam family "Bacterial small subunit ribosomal RNA", at positions 505 to 809 of the family's 1533-position model. The record is from RNAcentral.
ACAGCAGCAGCCGCGGUAAUACGAAGGGUGCAAGCGUUACUCGGAAUUACUGGGCGUAAAGCGUGCGUAGGUGGUGGUUUAAGUCCGUUGUGAAAGCCCUGGGCUCAACCUGGGAAUUGCAGUGGAUACUGGGUCACUAGAGUGUGGUAGAGGAUAGUGGAAUUUCCGGUGUAGCAGUGAAAUGCGUAGAGAUCGGAAGGAACAUCUGUGGCGAAGGCGACUAUCUGGGCCAACACUGACACUGAGGCACGAAAGCGUGGGGAGCAAACAGGAUUAGAUACCCCUGUAGUCCCUGUCUCUUAUAA